UGCGUAGGUGGUUAGUUAAGUCUUUGGUAUAAGUGCAGCGCUUAACGCUGUGACGCUAAAGAAACUGGCUGACUUGAGUGUGGUAGAGGCAAGUGGAAUUCCAUGUGUAGCGGUAAAAUGCGUAAAUAUAUGGAGGAACACCAGUGGCGAAGGCGGCUUGCUGGGCCAUAACUGACACUGAGGCACGAAAGCGUGGGGAGCAAACAGGAUUAGAUACCCUGGUAGUCC
This 228-nucleotide ribosomal RNA is filed under the name uncultured bacterium. RNAcentral's name for it is "partial 16S ribosomal RNA". It matches the Rfam family "Bacterial small subunit ribosomal RNA", at positions 568 to 796 of the family's 1533-position model. The record is from RNAcentral.